This 90-nucleotide small nucleolar RNA is filed under the name Rhinopithecus roxellana (golden snub-nosed monkey). Its description in RNAcentral is "Small nucleolar RNA SNORD116 (ENSRROG00000001524.1)". It matches the Rfam family "Small nucleolar RNA SNORD116". From Rfam's summary of the family: HBII-85 is a member of the C/D class of snoRNAs, which contain the C (UGAUGA) and D (CUGA) box motifs. HBII-85 is encoded in a tandemly repeated array with another C/D snoRNA, HBII-52, in the Prader-Willi syndrome (PWS) region of chromosome 15. Unlike most other snoRNAs, HBII-85 is expressed prevalently in the brain (but is absent in PWS patients) and lacks any significant complementarity with ribosomal RNA. Lineage: Eukaryota; Metazoa; Chordata; Mammalia; Primates; Cercopithecidae. The record is from Rfam by way of RNAcentral.
GGAUCCAUGAUGACUUCCAUAUACAUUCCUUGGAAAGCUGAACAAAAUGAGUGAAAACUCUAUACCGUCAUCCUUGUCAAACUGAGGUCC